AAGAAAGUAAGCAAGGGCGCAUGGCGGAUGCCUUGGCUCUCGGAGGCGAUGAAGGACGUGAUAAGCUGCGAUAAGCUCUGGGUAGGUGCAAAUAACCUUUGAUCCAGAGAUUUCCGAAUGGGACAACCCGGCAUUCUGAAGGAAUGUCAUCCAUCUUUGAUGGAGGCUAACGCAGGGAACUGAAACAUCUUAGUACCUGUAGGAAAAGAAAAUAAUAAUGAUUCCCCUAGUAGUGGCGAGCGAACGGGGAACAGCCCAAACCACCCAUGUUACGGCAUGUGUGGGGUUGUAGGACCACGAUAUCGCAAGACAUCUGAUGAAUAGAAUCCUCUGGAAAGUGGAACCAUAGACGGUGAUAGUCCUGUAUAUGAAGUCAGAUUAAGCGU
RNAcentral lists this ribosomal RNA (386 nucleotides) under Paraclostridium sordellii. RNAcentral's name for it is "partial 23S ribosomal RNA". It matches the Rfam family "Bacterial large subunit ribosomal RNA", at positions 1 to 401 of the family's 2925-position model. Lineage: Bacteria; Bacillati; Bacillota; Clostridia; Peptostreptococcales; Peptostreptococcaceae. The record is from RNAcentral.